RNAcentral lists this long non-coding RNA (246 nucleotides) under Lathyrus oleraceus (garden pea). Its description in RNAcentral is "Pisum sativum (pea) long non-coding RNA (PSAT_LNC023565)". The record is from RNAcentral. Lineage: Eukaryota; Viridiplantae; Streptophyta; Magnoliopsida; Fabales; Fabaceae.
UAAACUCUUGAUGACUUCUUGACCAAAAUAACAUGUAAAGAUCAUAGGGACAUGAUGUCUAAAGCCAUUGUAGACCAAUUCUUGAUUGAGCUCUUAGCCAUGAGGGUCUUAAACCCUAGAUAUGAGCUUGAUGGAUUAAAGGUGAUCAUGUGCCUUACCUACAAAAGAAGUAGAAAAAUGAAAAGACAUAUUUUUGGUAUUUUAGUUAGUAAAGAUGAUAAAAUACAAAGUAAGAUACAAUCACAU